This 626-nucleotide ribosomal RNA is filed under the name Lacticaseibacillus paracasei. Its description in RNAcentral is "bacterial SSU rRNA". It matches the Rfam family "Bacterial small subunit ribosomal RNA", at positions 93 to 705 of the family's 1533-position model. Lineage: Bacteria; Bacillati; Bacillota; Bacilli; Lactobacillales; Lactobacillaceae. The record is from RNAcentral.
GAGUGGCGGACGGGUGAGUAACACGUGGGUAACCUGCCCUUAAGUGGGGGAUAACAUUUGGAAACAGAUGCUAAUACCGCAUAGAUCCAAGAACCGCAUGGUUCUUGGCUGAAAGAUGGCGUAAGCUAUCGCUUUUGGAUGGACCCGCGGCGUAUUAGCUAGUUGGUGAGGUAAUGGCUCACCAAGGCGAUGAUACGUAGCCGAACUGAGAGGUUGAUCGGCCACAUUGGGACUGAGACACGGCCCAAACUCCUACGGGAGGCAGCAGUAGGGAAUCUUCCACAAUGGACGCAAGUCUGAUGGAGCAACGCCGCGUGAGUGAAGAAGGCUUUCGGGUCGUAAAACUCUGUUGUUGGAGAAGAAUGGUCGGCAGAGUAACUGUUGUCGGCGUGACGGUAUCCAACCAGAAAGCCACGGCUAACUACGUGCCAGCAGCCGCGGUAAUACGUAGGUGGCAAGCGUUAUCCGGAUUUAUUGGGCGUAAAGCGAGCGCAGGCGGUUUUUUAAGUCUGAUGUGAAAGCCCUCGGCUUAACCGAGGAAGCGCAUCGGAAACUGGGAAACUUGAGUGCAGAAGAGGACAGUGGAACUCCAUGUGUAGCGGUGAAAUGCGUAGAUAUAUGGAAGA